This 318-nucleotide ribosomal RNA is filed under the name Dinophysis acuminata. RNAcentral describes it as "partial Eukaryotic small subunit ribosomal RNA". It matches the Rfam family "Eukaryotic small subunit ribosomal RNA", at positions 844 to 1159 of the family's 1831-position model. The record is from RNAcentral. Lineage: Eukaryota; Dinophyceae; Dinophysales; Dinophysaceae.
UGGUUUUUAGAUCAAGAGGUAAUGAUUAAUAGAAGCAGUUUGGGGGCAUUAGUAUUACGACGCGAGAGGUGAAAUUCUUGGACCGUCGUAAGACUAACUUAAGCGAAAGCAUUUGCCAAAGAUGUUUUCAUUAAUCAAGAACGAAAGUUAGAGGUUCGAAGGCGAUCAGAUACCGCCCUAGUUCUAACCAUAAACGAUGCCAGCUAGCAAUUGGGUGUAGCUACUAUCAUGGCUCUCUCAGUCGCUUCCCGGGAAACCAAAGCUUUUGGGCUCCGGGGGAAGUAUGGUUGCAAAGCUGAAACUUAAAGGAAUUGACGG